Condylura cristata (star-nosed mole) is the source of this 1174-nucleotide long non-coding RNA. RefSeq lists it as uncharacterized. The record is from RefSeq and is a predicted model, not a curated record. The transcript is spliced from 2 exons. Lineage: Eukaryota; Metazoa; Chordata; Mammalia; Eulipotyphla; Talpidae.
CCUCUAGUCUGUACCCCAUUCUUGUAUGCAUAAAUAAAUUUUUUUUUAAAAAAGGUAAAAUGUAUUACUUUAUGCAUGUGAUGGCAUUAAUGUCUGCGAUGUACUUUGAAUAAAUUUAGCUUUUUUAAGAUACUGCAUUAUUUAACUUUUAUCACUUGCAUAUUUAUCAAAAGGAACUGUUCAUGUAUUAUGAUUUCUUAAUUAUUUUGGCACACUUAUGAUUGUUGUAUCUUACCUAUACAAUGUUUUAAAUAUGGGUAAAUCUUCAUGUACUUCUUUUAAAAAUAAGUAUUUCUUCUCCAUUGAAUAGUACCAUUUUUAACUUCUGAAGAAACAUUCAGUGUUUUAUCAUGGAAAUUAAAAUGAAAUGUUUUAUUCAAUCCAAGCUCAUCAGUGUUACCUGCAGCAAGAAUUUACAUUUUUCAUCUUGUGUCAUUCCCCUAUUCAUUAACUAGAGACUACGUAUGAUUGGAUUAAAUAAGAAUUUCUUGACUGGAAAUUCUGGGCCAGAAUUUCAGACUCACCCAUAGCCCUUAUCUAAUUACACUUCUCCCAGUGCCCUAACAUUAACAACUUAGUCAUGACUCCAGUCAUACCCCAUCUCAGAACUUUCACACAAAUCAAAUCUAACUACUACUGUCUUAAGGUUCUGUAAGAUACAAAUAAGGCAGUUUUUCCUGUGUUGCUUUCUGUUAAAUAACACUCUUUUGCUUAAUUUAGAGACAUAUUUUUGUAUGUUUACAGUGUUUGCACGGGUAAAGUUUUCUACUUUGUAUUUCCUAUAAGGCCUGUCUGAAUAAAGUUAAUGUGUAAGGCUAUAGUCAGAUAACCUGUGUCAACAGUAUUACUAAAAUUUAUUGAAAGCAAGUAGGGAAUCAAUGGAGUUCUAGUGCUGGCAUCAUGUCAUUCAUCCAGCAUUACUGGAGACCCUUCCGUGUACAAAAACCAAGAAUACAAAGAGGAGUAAAAUAGACUUCUUGACUGCAUACCUGGUCUGUAUCUUGUUUACUGGAAACGUGGCCCAUGAAACCAAUACACUAUAUAUAACACACCAUGGAAGAAAGGAACAAAGAAACAUAACUCAGCUGUGACUGUGGUUGAAGUCAGAGAAGCAUUAAUAGCUCCACAAAAUAGUGAUUUCUAAGCUAAGUGUGAAACAGAAGUUUACAGAUCA